GCACGCCGAGCCAGCGGGUGACGGCAUCGGUCUGACGUACCGACUUCGCCGGGUUCGACUCCCGGGGCGUGCA
RNAcentral lists this transfer RNA (73 nucleotides) under Corallococcus terminator. RNAcentral describes it as "tRNA-Val". It matches the Rfam family "tRNA". From Rfam's summary of the family: Transfer RNA (tRNA) molecules are approximately 80 nucleotides in length. Their secondary structure includes four short double-helical elements and three loops (D, anti-codon, and T loops). Further hydrogen bonds mediate the characteristic L-shaped molecular structure. tRNAs have two regions of fundamental functional importance: the anti-codon, which is responsible for specific mRNA codon recognition, and the 3' end, to which the tRNAs corresponding amino acid is attached (by aminoacyl-tRNA synthetases). tRNAs cope with the degeneracy of the genetic code in two manners: having more than one tRNA (with a specific anti-codon) for a particular amino acid; and 'wobble' base-pairing, i.e. permitting non-standard base-pairing at the 3rd anti-codon position. Lineage: Bacteria; Pseudomonadati; Myxococcota; Myxococcia; Myxococcales; Myxococcaceae. The record is from RNAcentral. RNAcentral also lists the same sequence under 3 other names.